Molecule: long non-coding RNA, 315 nt
Filed under: Brassica napus (rape)
Lineage: Eukaryota; Viridiplantae; Streptophyta; Magnoliopsida; Brassicales; Brassicaceae
Description: long non-coding RNA (BNAP_LNC024900)
Source: RNAcentral
AACUAUUAUCCGAGGAAAGAGGUUAUAUCAAGUGUUCCUCGGAAUUUCUUCGGUAUUUCUUAAAAAAAAAAAAAAAUAAGUUCAAUGGUAGUCUGUUUCCGAGUCAUCAUCACCAGAUGAAUCUGAAUCUGGAUCUUGGUGAAACUCUCCAAUCACUGGUUCAUCCUCUACGUGAAAGACGGCUUCCUCUCCAAAGUCGGUUAAAUCGACUACAAGGCCAACUCCACCUAAAUCUUCUGCUGCACUACAGUUGCCGGAUGUGCUUAGUUGUAGUGGGUCUUCCAGCUCAGAACUUCCCUGAACUCGGCCUCUCGG